RNAcentral lists this small nucleolar RNA (120 nucleotides) under Rhinolophus ferrumequinum (greater horseshoe bat). RNAcentral's name for it is "Small nucleolar RNA SNORA22 (ENSRFEG00010005868.1)". It matches the Rfam family "Small nucleolar RNA SNORA22", at positions 18 to 134 of the family's 134-position model. Rfam says of the family: ACA22 is a member of the H/ACA class of snoRNA that guide the sites of modification of uridines to pseudouridines. Lineage: Eukaryota; Metazoa; Chordata; Mammalia; Chiroptera; Rhinolophidae. The record is from Rfam by way of RNAcentral.
GAGCUUAAAAGAAACCUACUGCCUUGGCUUUGACUCUGUGCUAGAGCAAUGUCUGUUCUUCUCCUCUGCAUUGAAAGGACUAUUUAUCCUUUUAAAUGUAUUCAGAAAGUCAGCACAUUA